This 465-nucleotide ribosomal RNA is filed under the name Vreelandella stevensii. Its description in RNAcentral is "partial 16S ribosomal RNA". It matches the Rfam family "Bacterial small subunit ribosomal RNA", at positions 338 to 795 of the family's 1533-position model. Lineage: Bacteria; Pseudomonadati; Pseudomonadota; Gammaproteobacteria; Oceanospirillales; Halomonadaceae. The record is from RNAcentral.
CCUACGGGUGGCUGCAGUGGGGAAUAUUGGACAAUGGGGGGAACCCUGAUCCAGCCAUGCCGCGUGUGUGAAGAAGGCCCUCGGGUUGUAAAGCACUUUCAGUGAGGAAGAACGCCUGGUGGUUAAUACCCAACAGGAAAGACAUCACUCACAGAAGAAGCACCGGCUAACUCCGUGCCAGCAGCCGCGGUAAUACGGAGGGUGCGAGCGUUAAUCGGAAUUACUGGGCGUAAAGCGCGCGUAGGUGGCUUGAUAAGCCGGUUGUGAAAGCCCCGGGCUCAACCUGGGAACGGCAUCCGGAACUGUCAAGCUAGAGUGCAGGAGAGGAAGGUAGAAUUCCCGGUGUAGCGGUGAAAUGCGUAGAGAUCGGGAGGAAUACCAGUGGCGAAGGCGGCCUUCUGGACUGACACUGACACUGAGGUGCGAAAGCGUGGGUAGCAAACAGGAUUAGAUACCCGAGUAGUC